AACCAUAGAAACCUGCGGAGUACCUGCGGAGGGAUCAUUACAAGUGACCCCGGUCUAACCACCGGGAUGUUCAUAACCCUUUGUUGUCCGACUCUGUUGCCUCCGGGGCGACCCUGCCUUCGGGCGGGGGCUCCGGGUGGACACUUCAAACUCUUGCGUAACUUUGCAGUCUGAGUAAACUUAAUUAAUAAAUUAAAACUUUCAACAACGGAUCU
Molecule: unclassified non-coding RNA, 215 nt
Filed under: soil metagenome
Description: partial contains 5.8S ribosomal RNA, internal transcribed spacer 2, and large subunit ribosomal RNA
Source: RNAcentral